UACCACGUGUGACUGUGUUGAGAGUCCUUUU
Molecule: non-coding RNA, 31 nt
Filed under: Rattus norvegicus (Norway rat)
Lineage: Eukaryota; Metazoa; Chordata; Mammalia; Rodentia; Muridae
Source: RNAcentral